This 858-nucleotide ribosomal RNA is filed under the name Pseudomonas sp. RNAcentral's name for it is "bacterial SSU rRNA". It matches the Rfam family "Bacterial small subunit ribosomal RNA", at positions 61 to 914 of the family's 1533-position model. Lineage: Bacteria; Pseudomonadati; Pseudomonadota; Gammaproteobacteria; Pseudomonadales; Pseudomonadaceae. The record is from RNAcentral.
GUCGAGCGGAUGAGAAGAGCUUGCUCUUCGAUUCAGCGGCGGACGGGUGAGUAAUACCUAGGAAUCUGCCUGGUAGUGGGGGACAACGUUUCGAAAGGAACGCUAAUACCGCAUACGUCCUACGGGAGAAAGCAGGGGACCUUCGGGCCUUGCGCUAUCAGAUGAGCCUAGGUCGGAUUAGCUAGUUGGUGAGGUAAUGGCUCACCAAGGCGACGAUCCGUAACUGGUCUGAGAGGAUGAUCAGUCACACUGGAACUGAGACACGGUCCAGACUCCUACGGGAGGCAGCAGUGGGGAAUAUUGGACAAUGGGCGAAAGCCUGAUCCAGCCAUGCCGCGUGUGUGAAGAAGGUCUUCGGAUUGUAAAGCACUUUAAGUUGGGAGGAAGGGUACUUACCUAAUACGUGAGUAUUUUGACGUUACCGACAGAAUAAGCACCGGCUAACUCUGUGCCAGCAGCCGCGGUAAUACAGAGGGUGCAAGCGUUAAUCGGAAUUACUGGGCGUAAAGCGCGCGUAGGUGGUUUGUUAAGUUGAAUGUGAAAUCCCCGGGCUCAACCUGGGAACUGCAUCCAAAACUGGCAAGCUAGAGUAGGGCAGAGGGUGGUGGAAUUUCCUGUGUAGCGGUGAAAUGCGUAGAUAUAGGAAGGAACACCAGUGGCGAAGGCGACCACCUGGGCUCAUACUGACACUGAGGUGCGAAAGCGUGGGGAGCAAACAGGAUUAGAUACCCUGGUAGUCCACGCCGUAAACGAUGUCAACUAGCCGUUGGAAUCCUUGAGAUUUUAGUGGCGCAGCUAACGCAUUAAGUUGACCGCCUGGGGAGUACGGCCGCAAGGUUAAAACUCAAAUGAAUUGAC